RNAcentral lists this ribosomal RNA (251 nucleotides) under uncultured Gardnerella sp. RNAcentral describes it as "partial 16S ribosomal RNA". It matches the Rfam family "Bacterial small subunit ribosomal RNA", at positions 103 to 355 of the family's 1533-position model. The record is from RNAcentral. Lineage: Bacteria; Bacillati; Actinomycetota; Actinomycetes; Bifidobacteriales; Bifidobacteriaceae.
CGGGUGAGUAAUGCGUGACCAACCUGCCCCAUGCUCCAGAAUAGCUCUUGGAAACGGGUGGUAAUGCUGGAUGCUCCACUUGACGCAUGUCUUGUUGGGAAAGUGUUUAGUGGCAUGGGAUGGGGUCGCGUCCUAUCAGCUUGUAGGCGGGGUAAUGGCCCACCUAGGCUUCGACGGGUAGCCGGCCUGAGAGGGCGGACGGCCACAUUGGGACUGAGAUACGGCCCAGACUCCUACGGGAGGCAGCAGCA